Long non-coding RNA from Salvia miltiorrhiza (redroot sage), 1851 nucleotides. RefSeq lists it as uncharacterized. The transcript is spliced from 4 exons. The record is from RefSeq and is a predicted model, not a curated record. NCBI's taxonomy places the organism in Eukaryota, Viridiplantae, Streptophyta, Magnoliopsida, Lamiales, Lamiaceae.
AAUUAUAUAAACGAUUACAUAUUGAAGAGAUCUCCUUCGUUCUCUUUCCUACGUGGCUUCCUCUCAAUCCUUUAUUCUCUUCUCUCUUAAUUCUCUCAAAUCUCUAUUCUCCAUUCUCUAAUCCACGUAGAGUUUGAUAGGAAUCAAUAGAUUCAAUACACACCAAAUCAAAAUGCCUUAAUUUCUCAUCCUAAAGCAAUAAUUGAAUCAGUUUCAUCAAUCAUCGUUUCCAUUGCUUGAUUCUAGCAACCUUUCUCGCCCCAAUCCAUGUCAAUAUCAAUAACACAGUUUUUGGGGGUAAUUCAAUAAUUCGCUAAAUCCAUGUCAUGACACAAUUUUGGGAGGCGCGACUCCAGAUGGGGCGACUCCACGCGGGUGCGACUCUCCUCCAUCCUAUCUCCUUCCCUAUCGUCCGAACCCACCGGCACGGCGGCGACGCGAGGGCAAAAGAGAGACGCUGACAUAAUCAUUGUGGGUGCCGGAGUCGCCGGCUCCGUCUUCGCUUACACUCUCAGAAAGGCUUGCUUCUCCAGUGUUUGGUAAACUAGAAGCAGAGUUGGCUGAAGGUUUGUGAGUUGAACACUCAAGUUUGAGAACUGCCAACUCCAUUGCUGGUACAAUCAAAACCAAAUCAAUUCAUAUCAAGACUAUAAUUACAUCUUAAGAGUUUUUUUUGGUAGUUAAGGGUUGAUUCAACACACCAUGGAUAUCGAAGUGGGGCUUUCAGAGACAACAUUCAAUUUUUCUUCAUGAUUUCACGGAGAUUCAAGACUACUGCAUUAACGGAAUGCCGGUUUGGUGCACUUCGUUUCCAAGAACAAUGUCAUCUGCCCCUUCCACACCGUGGAGGAAACCGUUCAGGACUCUCUCGACCCCUUCUGCAAUUACUGUGAAUUAUCAUGUUUUUUAAUAUGGUUUCAGUGUUUCCAUUUCAAUCUUCACUUUUUCUUGAGAAAAUUCUUAUAUGUAUGCUUCGAAUUCACUUUUCUUUUUCUUAUAAUUGCAUCAGAGUAUCCUUAGUUUGCAUGAUUGACUCAAUUUCAUCAUCAAGAAGUUCUCUUUGAUAAUUGCAGUUGAGUUUUGUCUUUUUUUGCUGGUGGUUCAUUUAGUUUCUUUAUGCAGGUUGGGGUCACCAUUUUGCUUGCAAGCGAAAGUACCAUUUUAUAAUUCAUGCAAAAGUAGAUUGGAAUGAGUAAUUGGACGAAGAUUUUGCGGAACUUGAGAGCCUUCAAUUGUAUAGAUUGAUUCACUGCAAUGGAUUCGAGCAUCUCAUCUGCAUCAACGGUUUGAAAUACAAUUCAAAUUUGUUUUGCACAGAGGAUAGUAUGGAAUUAUGGGACCGUCUAUGCACUCUUCUUAGAGCCAGAUUCAGUUUUCUUCAACACGUGCGCUUUUAUCAAUCUUUGGAUUUAGUUCAGAAACAGGGGAAACAACACUGAUGAGGUUAGAGAAACUGGUGGAUUCGAUGAGAAAAAGCUGGUGGCCAGCAAGAAGGCUUGAGCACGUGCUCCUCGUGAUCGUUGAUCUAUUGAAGGAGCACAAGAAUGAGUCUCGGGCGCAAAUGUGGCAUGUCGCGACAAGAAUUGAGAGACGAGGCGAGGAGGUAGAUUGGGGACAGUGGCUUGAUCGAUUUCGUGCUCAAGUCGAUAAACAGUUUUAUAGUGGAGAAUCAGAUUAUCCGUCGUGCCACGAAUCCCUUAUCCAUGUGUGGUGUUUCACGAAAAUUUUGGUGACAUAAUUUGAAGAAAUGAUUAACUUUGCUUGGUGCACAACUAUUAUUAAUUGUUUUAUUGAGAUAUAGUAUUUCACAAUAGAGAUUUAUGUUAUGGAAGUUUUGAGUUAUAUAAGUAA